Molecule: ribosomal RNA, 717 nt
Filed under: Acidimicrobiales bacterium
Lineage: Bacteria; Bacillati; Actinomycetota; Acidimicrobiia; Acidimicrobiales
Description: bacterial SSU rRNA
Rfam family: Bacterial small subunit ribosomal RNA
Source: RNAcentral
AAACUUGAGAGUUUGAUCAUGGCUCAGAACGUACGCUGGCGGCACGCCUUAUACAUGCAAGUCGAACGAAGUAGCAAUACUUAGUGGCAGACGGGUGAGUAACAUGUGGGUAUCUUCCCUUUGGUGAGGAAUAACACGAGGAAACUUGUGCUAAUACCUCAUAAGUCUUUACGGAGAAAGCUUUAUGCGCCAAUGGAUGAGCCCGCACUUGAUUAGUUUGUUGGUGGGGUAAUGGCCUACCAAGACUUUGAUCAAUAGCUGAUUUGAGAGGAUGAUCAGCCACAUUGGGACUGAGACACGGCCCAAACUCCUACGGGAGGCAGCAGUAGGGAAUCUUGCACAAUGGAGGAAACUCUGAUGCAGCGAUGCCGCGUGAGUGAAGAAGGCCUUUGGGUUGUAAAGCUCUUUCGUCGGGGAAGAAAAUGACUGUACCCGAAUAAGAAGGUCCGGCUAACUUCGNNNNNNNNNNCCAGCAGCCGCGGUAAUACGAAGGGACCUAGCGUAGUUCGGAAUUACUGGGCUUAAAGAGUUCGUAGGUGGUUAAAAAAGUUGGUGGUGAAAUCCCAGAGCUUAACUCUGGAACUGCCAUCAAAACUUUUUAGCUAGAGUAUGAUAGAGGAAAGCAGAAUUUCUAGUGUAGAGGUGAAAUUCGUAGAUAUUAGAAAGAAUACCAAUUGCGAAGGCAGCUUUCUGGAUCAUUACUGACACUGAGGAGCG